UGCUACAGGCUUAACACAUGCAAGUCGAGGGGCAGCAUGGUCUUAGCUUGCUAAGGCCGAUGGCGACCGGCGCACGGGUGAGUAACACGUAUCCAACCUGCCGUCUACUCUUGGACAGCCUUCUGAAAGGAAGAUUAAUACAAGAUGGCAUCAUGAGUCCGCAUGUUCACAUGAUUAAAGGUAUUCCGGUAGACGAUGGGGAUGCGUUCCAUUAGAUAGUAGGCGGGGUAACGGCCCACCUAGUCUUCGAUGGAUAGGGGUUCUGAGAGGAAGGUCCCCCACAUUGGAACUGAGACACGGUCCAAACUCCUACGGGAGGCAGCAGUGAGGAAUAUUGGUCAAUGGGCGAGAGCCUGAACCAGCCAAGUAGCGUGAAGGAUGACUGCCCUAUGGGUUGUAAACUUCUUUUAUAAAGGAAUAAAGUCGGGUAUGGAUACCCGUUUGCAUGUACUUUAUGAAUAAGGAUCGGCUAACUCCGUGCCAGCAGCCGCGGUAAUACGGAGGAUCCGAGCGUUAUCCGGAUUUAUUGGGUUUAAAGGGAGCGUAGAUGGAUGUUUAAGUCAGUUGUGAAAGUUUGCGGCUCAACCGUAAAAUUGCAGUUGAUACUGGAUAUCUUGAGUGCAGUUGAGGCAGGCGGAAUUCGUGGUGUAGCGGUGAAAUGCUUAGAUAUCACGAAGAACUCCGAUUGCGAAGGCAGCCUGCUAAGCUGCAACUGACAUUGAGGCUCGAAAGUGUGGGUAUCAAACAGGAUUAGAUACCCUGGUAGUCCACACGGUAAACGAUAAAUACUCGCUGUUUGCGAUAUACUGCAAGCGGCCAAGCGAAAGCGUUAAGUAUUCCACCUGGGGAGUACGCCGGCAACGGUGAAACUCAAAGGAAUUGACGGGGGCCCGCACAAGCGGAGGAACAUGUGGUCUAAUUCGAUGAUACGCGAGGAACCUUACCCGGGCUUAAAUUGCAGAUGAAUUACGGUGAAAGCCGUAAGCCGCAAGGCAUCUGUGAAGGUGCUGCAUGGUUGUCGUCAGCUCGUGCCGUGAGGUGUCGGCUUAAGUGCCAUAACGAGCGCAACCCUUGUUGUCAGUUACUAACAGGUUCCGCUGAGGACUCUGACAAGACUGCCAUCGUAAGAUGUGAGGAAGGUGGGGAUGACGUCAAAUCAGCACGGCCCUUACGUCCGGGGCUACACACGUGUUACAAUGGGGGGUACAGAGGGCCGCUACCACGCGAGUGGAUGCCAAUCCCCAAAACCUCUCUCAGUUCGGACUGGAGUCUGCAACCCGACUCCACGAAGCUGGAUUCGCUAGUAAUCGCGCAUCAGCCACGGCGCGGUGAAUACGUUCCCGGGCCUUGUACACACCGCCCGUCAAGCCAUGGGAGCCGGGGGUACCUGAAGUGCGUAACCGCGAGGAGCGCCCUAGGGUAAAACUGGUGACUGG
Molecule: ribosomal RNA, 1436 nt
Filed under: uncultured organism
Description: SSU rRNA
Rfam family: Bacterial small subunit ribosomal RNA
Source: RNAcentral